GAUGAACGCUGGCGGCGUGCCUAAUACAUGCAAGUCGAGCGAAUGGAUUAAGAGCUUGCUCUUAUGAAGUUAGCGGCGGACGGGUGAGUAACACGUGGGGAACCUGCCCAUAAGACUGGGAUAACUCCGGGAAACCGGGGCUAAUACCGGAUAACAUUUUGAACCGCAUGGAUCGAAAGUGAAAGGCGGCUUCGGCUGUCACUUACGGAUGGACCCGGGUCGCAUUAGCUAGUUGGUGAGGUAACGGCGCAACAAGGCAACGAUGCGUAGCCGACCUGAGAGGGUGAUCGGCCACACUGGGACUGAGACACGGCCCAGACUCCUACGGGAGGCAGCAGUAGGGAAUCUUCCGCAAUGGACGAAAGUCUGACGGAGCAACGCCGCGUGAGUGAUGAAGGCCUUCGGGUCGUAAAACUCUGUUGUUAGGGAAGAACAAGUGCUAGUUGAAUAAGCUGGCACCUUGACGGUACCUAACCAGAAAGCCACGGCUAACUACGUGCCAGCAGCCGCCGUAA
RNAcentral lists this ribosomal RNA (515 nucleotides) under uncultured bacterium. RNAcentral's name for it is "partial 16S ribosomal RNA". It matches the Rfam family "Bacterial small subunit ribosomal RNA", at positions 28 to 523 of the family's 1533-position model. The record is from RNAcentral.